AACGAACGCUGGCGGCGCGCCUAAUACAUGCAAGUCGAGCGAGAAGGUGUAGCAAUACACUUGUAAAGCGGCGAACGGGUGAGGAAUACAUGGGUAAUCUACCAUCGAGUGGGGAAUAACCAACCGAAAGGUUGGCUAAUACCGCGUACGCCUCCGAGUCUUCGGGUUCGGAGGGAAAGCUGCACUGUGAGUGUAGCGCUCUUUGAUGAGCUCAUGUCCUAUCAGCUUGUUGGUAGGGUAACGGCCUACCAAGGCUUUGACAGGUAGCUGGUCUGAGAGGACGAUCAGCCACACUGGCACUGCGACACGGGCCAGACUCCUACGGGAGGCAGCAGUAAGGAAUAUUGCGCAAUGGGCGAAAGCCUGACGCAGCGACGCCGCGUGGGGGAUGAAGGUCUUCGGAUUGUAAACCCCUUUCGGGAGGGAAGAUGGAGCGAGCAAUCGUUCGGACGGUACCUCCAGAAGCAGCCACGGCCAACUUCGUGCCAGC
This 490-nucleotide ribosomal RNA is filed under the name uncultured bacterium. RNAcentral describes it as "bacterial SSU rRNA". It matches the Rfam family "Bacterial small subunit ribosomal RNA", at positions 29 to 512 of the family's 1533-position model. The record is from RNAcentral.